Molecule: ribosomal RNA, 441 nt
Filed under: uncultured bacterium
Lineage: Bacteria
Description: partial 16S ribosomal RNA
Rfam family: Bacterial small subunit ribosomal RNA
Source: RNAcentral
CCUACGGGAGGCAGCAGUCGGGAAUAUUGCGCAAUGGAGGAAACUCUGACGCAGUGACGCCGCGUAUAGGAAGAAGUUUUUCGGAAUGUAAACUAUUGUCGUUAGGGAAGAGAAAGGACAGUACCUAAGGAGGAAGCUCCGGCUAACUACGUGCCAGCAGCCGCGGUAAUACGUAGGGAGCGAGCGUUAUCCGGAAUUAUUGGGUGUAAAGGGUGCGUAGACGGGAAAACAAGUUAGUUGUGAAAUCCCUCGGCUUAACUGAGGAACUGCAACUAAAACUAUUUUUCUUGAGUGCAGGAGAGGUAAGUGGAAUUCCUAGUGUAGCGGUGAAAUGCAUAGAUAUCACACAGAACACCGAUUGCGAAGGCAUCUCACGAAUCCGCGAUUGACGCUGAUGCACGAAAGCGUGGGUAUCAAACAGGAUUAGAUACCCGAGUAGUC